This 3599-nucleotide long non-coding RNA is filed under the name Panax ginseng (ginseng). RNAcentral's name for it is "long non-coding RNA (PGIN_LNC003696)". The record is from RNAcentral. Lineage: Eukaryota; Viridiplantae; Streptophyta; Magnoliopsida; Apiales; Araliaceae.
AAAUGGUGACAUACAAUCUCAGCAACCAGCUACAAAUCUCAGCAUACAUGCAUCCAACACAUUAUAUAUAUAGUAUUGGAGAGAGAAAAUCUCAUUUGCCCACUUAUUUUUGCAAUAACACUCCACUUAUCUCUCUCAACUUAAAACCUACGAAAUUCUCUCCUAAAAUCAGUCAAGAAACAAGCCCCACGAUCAGCCAUACCAAAUCAGCAACACAAAAUCAGAAUUUGGACAUCAAAGGUAUAAAAACCUUAGCUUGAAUCUGUCCAAAAUUUUGUUGUUAGAUGUUAGAAUUUAUUGUUAAAACAUGUUGUUUAUAAGUUAUUAUGACGAUCUGGGUUGGUUUUAGAUAGAUCCAUAUCAUCAAAAUCUUCAGAUUUGAGUUUUUGAAAAAUCUGGAAAAUUUUUGUUGUCGACUGACAAGCAAAUGUCAGGCCUCUUUAAUCUUUGUAUGUUAACUGUUUUUGUUGAUUAAAGCUUGAAUCUUGUAGCCUGUUAUGUUCCCUGUAAUCUGGAACUUUUAGCUAGCUCAGAUCGUGCUCAGAAUGAAAGUUAUGGGUGGUCAAACCUCAUUGACCGACCAUGACUUUCAAUUUCUGGAAAAACCCAGAUCAUGCCCAGAAGGCUCUGACAAGAUCUUCGUGGCCUUAGAUCUGACUGUGUUAUGAUUUUAUGUAAUGAUCUAUGUAUCUAUGAUAUAGUCUGUUGUUUGGACUACAAUAUUAUUGCACUAUAUUACUAAUAUAUAGAUCAGGUAGAUCUCAGUGGGCGGUCAAACUAGGCCGGACGUUCAUGAAAUGCAUUUUCUGGGUAACCCAGAAAACGCAUGAUCAUGACGUCUGACAAGGUUUGACCGGUCUAGAUCUGUCGAUUGUGUUGUUAUUUAGUUAAUGUUUUGGGAUAAAUAUAUUCUCUUACAUGUUGGCUACACACUUCACGCAUUAUAUCACAAAAAUAUCUCGCGAUCUGCAAGUUGUGGAAGCCCAAAGUAGCCAUCAGGAACUGUUCUUCAUUUCUGGGAAACCCAGAAAUGAAGAACAUGUCUGACAGCCACUUUGAGGCUUUAUAUCUUCGGAUUGUGAUGUUAUUUGAUCAUAUUUCUUGUUGAAUGGUGUAGUGUUGCAUGUAUACUACAUAAUCUGUACAAAAGCAUACCCUCAAACAUCAUGAUCCGGUCUGUGUGCUUGGUCAAAGUAGGCAAGUUGGAACUGGUUAUGAAUGUUCUUGAAGGCUCAAGAACACCUAUAGCGACAGAAAGUGUCGCUAUAGCCCUUUAGCGACAGUUUUAUUUAUAAUUUCCGAAAAUUAAUAAAAAAAUUGAUAAAAAGGGUUUUUAAUUAUUAAAAAUACAAAAUAAAUUAUUAAAAAUUAUUUUAAAUUCUGAAAAUUAUAUUUUAAUUAUUUUAAAUAUAUUUCAUAAAUAUUUAAUAUUUUUGGAAUAUUAAAAGUAUUUAAUUUAUUUAAUUAUAAUAUUAAAUAAAUUAUUUAAAAAUGAUUUAAAUACAUGAAAAAUCAUUAAAAAUUAUAUUAUGAUAUAUGAAAAUAUUUUAAGUUAUCUACAAUGACUUUUAAUAUUUUAUGAUAAUUUUCAUUAAUAAAUUAAUAUUAAUGAUAGUUAAGUUAUUUAGUAAAUGAAUUAAAUAAAUAAAUUAAAAAUGAUUUUAUUAUAUUAAAAAUCAUUUUAAAUAAUAAUAAGGUAUUUAAGAAUAUUUUAAGUUAUAAAAUAUAACUUUUAAUAUUUAAUGGUUAAUUUCAUUAAUUAAUGAUUAAUAAUGAUAUUAAAAAUUAUUUAAUUAUAUUAAAUAAAUUAGUUUAAAAAUGAUUUUAUUAUUUUAAAAAUCAUUUUAAAUGAAAAUAAAGUGUUUAAAAAUAUUUUAAGUUAUAAAAUAUAACUUUUAAUAUUUAAAAGAAUAAUUUCAUUAAUAAUUUAAUAUUAAUGAUAUUUAUUUAAUGAUUAAUGAUAUUAAAUUUAUUUAAUAAUUAUAUUAAAUAAAUAGUUUUAAAAUGGUUUUAUUAAUUUAAAAAUUAUUUAAAAAGGGAUAAAAAUGAAUUAAAAGUAUUUUAAGUUAUAAUUAAUGACUUUUAAUAUUUAGAUAAAUAGUUCAUUAAUAUUUAAAUAUUAAUGGUAAUUAUUUAAUAAUGAUUUUAAAUGUUUUAAAAAUCAUUUAAAGGUAAUAUAAAUGUUUUAAAAAAAGUUUAAGUUAUUUUAAAUAACUUAAUAUUUUGGCAAUGGUUUCAUUAAUAGUUUAUUAUUAAUUAAAUAUUAAUGAUAAUAGAAUUGUUUAUUAUUUAAAUCAUUUAAUAAUGAUUCUGAUAUUUCAAAAAUUAUGAUAAAUGGUAAUAAUUGUUUAAAAAUUAUUAUAAGGCAAUGAAAAAUAGUGCGGCGGGUGUUUGAAAUAUCCAAAUGAAUAUUGAACAACUGUUUAGAGUCUUAGACUCGAUAAUUACCCGAUAAGGUUGUCGGUAGACCGAUAUAUUUCAGAAAUUGAUCUGGAUUUAGAUAGAUUGACUUGAUAAGUGAAUUAUUUGUGAUUCAAUGGUGUUAAAAUUAUGUGACAAUGUGAUUAGGAAUGUGCUGACUGCAAUAAGCAGUAUUAUAUGAUAUAUUAUUCUAAUCAGACAAUGAUCUAUUUAAUGAUAGGACUUGAUAGAAAAGAUAUAUCUAAGUUGUGUAAGCAGCAGACAAGGCAAGUAUCUAAACCUUUGCAUUUACUUUAUGCUAAGGACAUGCGUAAGAUAAUAUCUAAACUAUUCAUUUCAAUUGUUCAAAUAUUUCAACCUUUGUAUAUACUUAUGCAAUGAUUCUGUAUAAGUAAGCUAUUAAACAAUAAUUGUUGUACAAUUUCCUUUAUUCUGUUAAUAGUGAUCAAGUUAUUUAUUCUGUUCGUUAAUUUCUAUAACAUGGUUAUACAAGUGUCCCCACUUGGAUAAUCAUUAUAUUUUAUCACAUGUUGAUACAUACUUAUAGUUGCUUAGUAUGUAUACCUUGAAAUAAAGGUCGUCUAAGCUAUUUGAUCCAGCUAGACAUAUAUAUUUAAAAUUGUUGUUGAACAAGAUAAAAUUAUCCAACCGAAUUGCUUUGGUAUGGAUUCAAGACUGUUAUGAACAUCCCAAUCAUGGGAAAUUUUUAUGCGCUACGGCGGACAAAGGAUGAACGAUAAUAUCGUUCUAGAAUGUAGUAUUGAUCAAUACAGGGCAUAACGGGCUGAUCACCCCCGUGCCCAUAAGUAAUGACGGUUUACAGAUGAAGUUCUGUUUAAACCUUUUCAAAAAUAUAAAACAAUGUUCAUAGUCUGUCAAAUGAUCAUCAUUUAUAGUCUGUACGUAGUUUCAAAAAAAUAAAAUUUAAAAUGACAUGUUAUUGAUUAUUGGUCCAGUUUACUUCACAACUAUUGAUCCGUUGUAGAAGUUUCGUUCAAAGAAAAUAUUUAAUCUUUUCAGCUAACUGAUAUUGUUGAUAUUACUUGCUGGGCACUCAAAUGCUCAUUCUUGCUUAAUUUAAAUGUUUUCAGCUAAGUGUGAACAAACCGAAGGAUCUGCCAAGAACAAGGGGAAAGGGAAAGUUGCUGAAUGAAUGUUUAAGCUAUUCUAUGUAAUAG